This 70-nucleotide transfer RNA is filed under the name Myotis lucifugus (little brown bat). It matches the Rfam family "tRNA". Rfam says of the family: Transfer RNA (tRNA) molecules are approximately 80 nucleotides in length. Their secondary structure includes four short double-helical elements and three loops (D, anti-codon, and T loops). Further hydrogen bonds mediate the characteristic L-shaped molecular structure. tRNAs have two regions of fundamental functional importance: the anti-codon, which is responsible for specific mRNA codon recognition, and the 3' end, to which the tRNAs corresponding amino acid is attached (by aminoacyl-tRNA synthetases). tRNAs cope with the degeneracy of the genetic code in two manners: having more than one tRNA (with a specific anti-codon) for a particular amino acid; and 'wobble' base-pairing, i.e. permitting non-standard base-pairing at the 3rd anti-codon position. The record is from Rfam by way of RNAcentral. Lineage: Eukaryota; Metazoa; Chordata; Mammalia; Chiroptera; Vespertilionidae.
CCCUGUGUGGCUCAGUGGUUGAGCAUCAACCUAUGAACUUGGAGGUCAUGGUUCGAUUCCUGGUCAGGGC